RNAcentral lists this long non-coding RNA (239 nucleotides) under Elaeis guineensis (African oil palm). RNAcentral's name for it is "long non-coding RNA (EGUI_LNC026511)". The record is from RNAcentral. Lineage: Eukaryota; Viridiplantae; Streptophyta; Magnoliopsida; Arecales; Arecaceae.
AUGGCAGCAUGAGGCAGUACUUGAUUGAGCCAACAAUUUCUGAAAUAGAGUUUCGUACAACCUGAGCUAGAGUUAUUUAUAUGCAUGAAGGGUGUUGGAUACGGAUCACAUAGUUAUCGAGAAUAAUUCAAUUGUUGUGGUGUCAUGGAUUUGGAAAUAUAUGCAGGGAACAGCUAAGCAUCCUCUUUUAUGAGAUAUUUUUAUUUUCCUCUCUAGUUGCAUUAGACUUAUUGUUAGGC